Molecule: small nucleolar RNA, 132 nt
Organism: Perognathus longimembris pacificus (Pacific pocket mouse)
Lineage: Eukaryota; Metazoa; Chordata; Mammalia; Rodentia; Heteromyidae
Product: small nucleolar RNA SNORA40
Exons: 1
Source: RefSeq, a predicted model, not a curated record
AACACUUGUGUGUGUGUGUGUUUGUCUAAUUUGUAACAAAGCCUUGCAGUCAGGUGCAAACAGUAAAUCCUCUCUUGCAACCAAGAACUCAUUGUGGAACAGGAGAUUUUGGUAUGUGUAAGAAGGGAUAGG